This is a non-coding RNA of Ostertagia ostertagi, 85 nucleotides long. The record is from the annotation of a GenBank genome assembly. NCBI's taxonomy places the organism in Eukaryota, Metazoa, Nematoda, Chromadorea, Rhabditida, Trichostrongylidae.
GACUGCUUGGCGCAAUGGUAGCGCGUUCGACUCCAGAUCGAAAGGUUGGGCGUUCGCGACUCCUCCCCGAUCCGCUCAGUGGUCA